CUUCCAGUAACACCUUAGAGACCAACUAAGUUUGUUAUUGGUAUGAGCUUUCGUGUGAAAGUUCAUACCAAUAACAAACUUAGCUGGUCUCUAAGGUGCUACUGGAAG
Molecule: non-coding RNA, 108 nt
Organism: Podarcis lilfordi (Lilford's wall lizard)
Lineage: Eukaryota; Metazoa; Chordata; Lepidosauria; Squamata; Lacertidae
Source: the annotation of a GenBank genome assembly